Molecule: ribosomal RNA, 420 nt
Filed under: bacterium PM31
Lineage: Bacteria
Description: bacterial SSU rRNA
Rfam family: Bacterial small subunit ribosomal RNA
Source: RNAcentral
AACGCGAAGAACCUUACCUGGUCUUGACAUCCACGGAAGUUUUCAGAGAUGAGAAUGUGCCUUCGGGAACCGUGAGACAGGUGCUGCAUGGCUGUCGUCAGCUCGUGUUGUGAAAUGUUGGGUUAAGUCCCGCAACGAGCGCAACCCUUAUCCUUUGUUGCCAGCGGUCCGGCCGGGAACUCAAAGGAGACUGCCAGUGAUAAACUGGAGGAAGGUGGGGAUGACGUCAAGUCAUCAUGGCCCUUACGACCUAGGGCUACACACGUGCUACAAUGGCGCAUACGAAGAGAAGCGACCUCGCGAGAGCAAGCGGACCUCAUAAAGUGCGUCGUAGUCCGGAUUGGAGUCUGCAACUCGACUCCUAUGAAGUUCGGAAUCGCUAGUAAUCGUGGAUCAGAAUGCCACGGUGAAUACGUUCCC